Molecule: long non-coding RNA, 434 nt
Filed under: Salvia miltiorrhiza (redroot sage)
Lineage: Eukaryota; Viridiplantae; Streptophyta; Magnoliopsida; Lamiales; Lamiaceae
Description: long non-coding RNA (SMIL_LNC004622)
Source: RNAcentral
UUCCGAUCUUUGGCUUUCGAUCAUCCGCAACUUAAGGAAUAUAUAACUGACUACCAAUAUUUUCUUCCAUAUUGCUAGACAUAAAAAUUACACAGUGACAACAAUGUAAUAUAAAAUAAAUAAAGUGACUGAAAUUAUUUGGGUAAAUGAACAAUUAUAACAUAAAAAACAUACUGAAGGUAUCGUAGAGAGAGUACAAUAAUUAAAACUAAUUAAGAAAUACAUAUAUUUAUAUCAGAUAAAACAAAAUUAUUUUAGAUUAAUGUAUAAAUUGCUCAUAUGAUUCAUUUUAUCUCUAUUUUGGCCCCUUAAACACUCAUCGGAAAGUUACAAAUAUAGUGACCAACAAGACUAGAUAGAUAGUGACCAACAAGACUAGAUAGAGUACAAUAAUUAAAAACUAAUUAAGAAAUACAUAUAUUUAUAUCAGAUAC